ACGGGUGAGUAACGCGUGGGAAUCUACCUAGUUCUACGGAACAACACAGGGAAACUUGUGCUAAUACCGUAUACGCCCUACGGGGGAAAGAUUUAUCGGAAUUAGAUGAGCCCGCGUAAGAUUAGCUAGUUGGUGGGGUAAUGGCCUACCAAGGCGACGAUCUUUAGCUGGUCUGAGAGGAUGAUCAACCACACUGGGACUGAGACACGGCCCAGACUCCUACGGGAGGCAGCAGUGGGGAAUAUUGGACAAUGGGCGCAAGCCUGAUCCAGCCAUGCCGCGUGAGUGAUGAAGGCCUUAGGGUUGUAAAGCUCUUUCAGUGGGGACGAUAAUGACGGUACCCACAGAAGAAGCCCCGGCUAACUUCGUGCCAGCAGCCGCGGUAAUACGAAGGGGGCUAGCGUUGUUCGGAUUUACUGGGCGUAAAGCGCACGUAGGCGGAUCGUUAAGUCGGGGGUGAAAUCCUGGAGCUCAACUCCAGAACUGCCUUCGAUACUGGCGAUCUUGAGUCCGGAAGAGGUGAGUGGAACUCCUAGUGUAGAGGUGGAAUUCGUAGA
Molecule: ribosomal RNA, 557 nt
Filed under: uncultured Devosia sp.
Lineage: Bacteria; Pseudomonadati; Pseudomonadota; Alphaproteobacteria; Hyphomicrobiales; Devosiaceae
Description: bacterial SSU rRNA
Rfam family: Bacterial small subunit ribosomal RNA
Source: RNAcentral